CGAAACGCCCGAAUGCUUCCGAACUUCGCCAAACUUCAUCGAAACCAUUCGAAUGGCUUUCUAACCUCACAUAAACCAUAACUUCAUGAUUUUAGAAGUCCGGUACCUUACACUCUCUCUCUCUACUCUCUCUUUCUAGCCGAAUAGAAGGAGAAGAAGGAGAAAAGGAAAAGAGAAGGAAAAAGAAGGAAAAAGAGAGGAAGAAAAGGAAGGAGAAGAAGGAGAAGAAGGUUUGGGAGCUCUUCUUCAC
Molecule: long non-coding RNA, 250 nt
Filed under: Ananas comosus (pineapple)
Lineage: Eukaryota; Viridiplantae; Streptophyta; Magnoliopsida; Poales; Bromeliaceae
Description: long non-coding RNA (ACOM_LNC037160)
Source: RNAcentral